AGCAGCCGCGGUAAUUCCAGCUCCAAUAGCGUAUAUUAAAGUUGUUGCAGUUAAAAGCUCGUAGUUGAAUUUCGGGAUCAGUAUGUUGGUCGUGCUUCGGUACGUACUGUCAUUACUGGUUUCUACCUUCUGAAGAACCUUGAUGUCAUUAAUUUGGUGUCUUGGGGAAUCAGGACUGUUACUUUGAAAAAUUAGAGUGUUUAAAGCAAGCAUACGCUUGAAUACAUUAGCAUGGAAUAAUGAAAUAGGACGUUUGAUUCUAUUUUGUUGGUUUCUAGGAUCGACGUAAUGAUUAAUAGGGAUAGUUGGGGGCAUUAGUAUUCAAUUGUCAGAGGUGAAAUUCUUGGAUUUAUUGAAGACUAACUACUGCGAAAGCAUUUGCCAAGGAUGUUUUCAUUAAUCAAGAACGAAAGUUAGGGAUCGAAGACGAUCAGAUACCGUCGUAGUCUU
Molecule: ribosomal RNA, 450 nt
Filed under: uncultured Glomeromycotina
Lineage: Eukaryota; Fungi; Glomeromycota
Description: SSU rRNA
Rfam family: Eukaryotic small subunit ribosomal RNA
Source: RNAcentral